This 628-nucleotide ribosomal RNA is filed under the name uncultured fungus. RNAcentral's name for it is "LSU rRNA". It matches the Rfam family "Eukaryotic large subunit ribosomal RNA", at positions 23 to 664 of the family's 3401-position model. Lineage: Eukaryota; Fungi. The record is from RNAcentral.
ACCCGCUGAACUUAAGCAUAUCAAUAAGCGGAGGAAAAGAAACAAACAUGGAUAGCCCUAGUAACGGCGAGUGAAGCGGCUACAGCUCAAAUUUGAAAUCUGGCCUCCUCUGGGGGUCCGAGUUGUAAUUUGCAGAGGAUGCUUUGGCGUUGGCGGCGGUCUAAGUUCCCUGGAACAGGACAUCGCAGAGGGUGAGAAUCCCGUACGUGGGCGCCUGCCUUCGCCGUGUAAAGCUCCUUCGACGAGUCGAGUUGUUUGGGAAUGCAGCUCUAAUUGGGAGGUAAAUUUCUUCUAAAGCUAAAUACCGGCCAGAGACCGAUAGCGCACAAGUAGAGUGAUCGAAAGAUGAAAAGUACUUUGGAAAGAGAGUCAAAUAGCACGUGAAAUUGUUGAAAGGGAAGCGCUUGCAGCCAGACGUGCCCGCAGUUGCUCACCCAGGCUCCGGCCUGGGGCACUCUUCUGCGGGCAGGCCAGCAUCGGUUCGGGCGGUCGGAUAAAGGUCUCUGUCACGUACCUCCCUUCGGGGUGGCCUUAUAGGGGAGACGCAAUGCGACCAGCCCGGACCGAGGUCCGCGCAUCUGCCAGGAUGCUGGCGUAAUGGCUGUAAGCGGCCCGUCUUGAAACACGG